Molecule: long non-coding RNA, 536 nt
Filed under: Gossypium barbadense (sea-island cotton)
Lineage: Eukaryota; Viridiplantae; Streptophyta; Magnoliopsida; Malvales; Malvaceae
Description: long non-coding RNA (GBAR_LNC009961)
Source: RNAcentral
GCCAACUGCAGCAGAAGUGACAAUAAACAUAAAAUAUUUUGAGUUAAAACUUUGUAAAAUGCUAUAAAAGCCAUCAAAAAACAAAAAUGGAGGGGUCUUUUUUUUUUUUUGAGAAUCAAUACAAAAAACAAUAGAUUUUCAAAUACAACACAGAGAGUGAAUAUAAAAAAAAAAGAGAGGAAGAAAAUCAAAAAUAAAAAUCCAGUCAGUAACUCAAGAGAUGAUUUCAUUUUUUUAUUUUAUUUUCUUUCUCAUUCUUCAAAAUCUUUUUUUCUUUUAUAUAAAUAUAAUAUAAAAAAGGAGGGAAAAGAGGCUUACCUUUAAAAUUAUCGAAAAACGCUGACUUUUUGAGUUUUGGUCGCCGUGUACGGCUUCACUGACGACAACAGACGGCGGUGGAGGUGUCGGAGACUUGGCCGGACUUGGAGAAAGGGAGGAGAGAGUUAGGGGUGUGCAAAAUUCGGGUAAAAACAAAAAAAUCCGGUUAACCGAUCAAAUUUAGUUAAUCGGUCGGUUAACCGAAUUAAUUCGGUCGG